Molecule: ribosomal RNA, 429 nt
Filed under: uncultured bacterium
Lineage: Bacteria
Description: bacterial SSU rRNA
Rfam family: Bacterial small subunit ribosomal RNA
Source: RNAcentral
UGGGGAAUUUUGGACAAUGGGCGAAAGCCUGAUCCAGCCAUUCCGCGUGAGUGAAGAAGGCCUUCGGGUUGUAAAGCUCUUUCGCAAGGGAAGAAUACUUAGUCUCUAACAUAGACUGAGGUUGACGGUACCUUGAUAAGAAGCACCGGCUAACUACGUGCCAGCAGCCGCGGUAAUACGUAGGGUGCGAGCGUUAAUCGGAAUUACUGGGCGUAAAGCGUGCGCAGGCUGUUUUGUAAGUCAGAUGUGAAAUCCCCGAGCUCAACUUGGGAACUGCGUUUGAAACUACAAGACUAGAAUAUGUCAGAGGGGGGUAGAAUUCCACGUGUAGCAGUGAAAUGCGUAGAGAUGUGGAGGAAUACCAAUGGCGAAGGCAGCCCCCUGGGAUAAUAUUGACGCUCAUGCACGAAAGCGUGGGGAGCAAACAGG